GAAAUGCGAUACGUAAUGCGAAUUGCAGAAUUCAGUGAAUCAUCAAAUUUUUGAACGCAACUUGCGCUGUUGGGUAGCCCCGACAGCAUGUUUCUCUGAGUAUCGAUUCUAACCCAACUCGCCCACGUGGCGGAUAAUGAAGGUCUCGUUGUGUCUUUCACAAGACUAAUGCGAGUCCUUUUAAAUACAGUUGAGUUCUUUCAACAUAUGAUCAGACUACCUUAUGAAAGGUUCGCCCUUCAUCUAGCUGAUGUUGAUAAUUCAGUCCCCGUUUUCGGGUUCUGUCUUUGACAUCGGGUCUAGGAAGACGCGGAUUGUAGUCGCGAUCGAAGGAACCGAAACAAAGGAAUCAAACAAAACAUUCUUAACCGAGUGUUUCUUUUUGAAUUUGAUCUCAGAU
RNAcentral lists this unclassified non-coding RNA (400 nucleotides) under uncultured fungus. RNAcentral describes it as "sequence contains ITS1". The stretch from base 1 to 105 matches the Rfam family "5.8S ribosomal RNA", at positions 50 to 154 of the family's 154-position model. Lineage: Eukaryota; Fungi. The record is from RNAcentral.